RNAcentral lists this ribosomal RNA (1335 nucleotides) under human gut metagenome. RNAcentral's name for it is "bacterial LSU rRNA". It matches the Rfam family "Bacterial large subunit ribosomal RNA", at positions 1333 to 2653 of the family's 2925-position model. The record is from RNAcentral.
CUCGCCGGAAGACCAAGGGUUCCUGUCCAACGUUAAUCGGGGCAGGGUGAGUCGACCCCUAAGGCGAGGCCGAAAGGCGUAGUCGAUGGGAAACAGGUUAAUAUUCCUGUACUUGGUGUUACUGCGAAGGGGGGACGGAGAAGGCUAUGUUGGCCGGGCGACGGUUGUCCCGGUUUAAGCGUGUAGGCUGGUUUUCCAGGCAAAUCCGGAAAAUCAAGGCUGAGGCGUGAUGACGAGGCACUACGGUGCUGAAGCAACAAAUGCCCUGCUUCCAGGAAAAGCCUCUAAGCAUCAGGUAACAUCAAAUCGUACCCCAAACCGACACAGGUGGUCAGGUAGAGAAUACCAAGGCGCUUGAGAGAACUCGGGUGAAGGAACUAGGCAAAAUGGUGCCGUAACUUCGGGAGAAGGCACGCUGAUAUGUAGGUGAAGCGACUUGCUCGUGGAGCUGAAAUCAGUCGAAGAUACCAGCUGGCUGCAACUGUUUAUUAAAAACACAGCACUGUGCAAACACGAAAGUGGACGUAUACGGUGUGACGCCUGCCCGGUGCCGGAAGGUUAAUUGAUGGGGUCAGCGCAAGCGAAGCUCUUGAUCGAAGCCCCGGUAAACGGCGGCCGUAACUAUAACGGUCCUAAGGUAGCGAAAUUCCUUGUCGGGUAAGUUCCGACCUGCACGAAUGGCGUAAUGAUGGCCAGGCUGUCUCCACCCGAGACUCAGUGAAAUUGAACUCGCUGUGAAGAUGCAGUGUACCCGCGGCAAGACGGAAAGACCCCGUGAACCUUUACUAUAGCUUGACACUGAACAUUGAGCCUUGAUGUGUAGGAUAGGUGGGAGGCUUUGAAGUGUGGACGCCAGUCUGCAUGGAGCCGACCUUGAAAUACCACCCUUUAAUGUUUGAUGUUCUAACGUUGACCCGUAAUCCGGGUUGCGGACAGUGUCUGGUGGGUAGUUUGACUGGGGCGGUCUCCUCCUAAAGAGUAACGGAGGAGCACGAAGGUUGGCUAAUCCUGGUCGGACAUCAGGAGGUUAGUGCAAUGGCAUAAGCCAGCUUGACUGCGAGCGUGACGGCGCGAGCAGGUGCGAAAGCAGGUCAUAGUGAUCCGGUGGUUCUGAAUGGAAGGGCCAUCGCUCAACGGAUAAAAGGUACUCCGGGGAUAACAGGCUGAUACCGCCCAAGAGUUCAUAUCGACGGCGGUGUUUGGCACCUCGAUGUCGGCUCAUCACAUCCUGGGGCUGAAGUAGGUCCCAAGGGUAUGGCUGUUCGCCAUUUAAAGUGGUACGCGAGCUGGGUUUAGAACGUCGUGAGACAGUUCGGUCCCUAUCUGCCGUGGGCG